Long non-coding RNA from Octopus sinensis (East Asian common octopus), 130 nucleotides. RefSeq lists it as uncharacterized. NCBI's taxonomy places the organism in Eukaryota, Metazoa, Mollusca, Cephalopoda, Octopoda, Octopodidae. The record is from RefSeq and is a predicted model, not a curated record. The transcript has 3 exons.
UCUUCCGGUCUGUCGUUGGCGUCGCCGCCGUUCGCGUUGCGGUAGUAGCGCGUCCACCUCCCGGUCGUUUCGGCCCGCACGGUUCCUCCGAGGGUGCUCUUCGCCGAGUGUCCGAGGCGGCCGGUACGUU